Molecule: ribosomal RNA, 1228 nt
Filed under: Echinostoma miyagawai
Lineage: Eukaryota; Metazoa; Platyhelminthes; Trematoda; Plagiorchiida; Echinostomatidae
Description: eukaryotic LSU rRNA
Rfam family: Eukaryotic large subunit ribosomal RNA
Source: RNAcentral
CCCUUAGUAACGGCGAGUGAACAGGGAUAAGCCCAGCACCGAAGCCUGUGGCCGUUUGGCCCCUAGGCAAUGUGGUGUUCAGGUCAGCUCGCGGGGAUACUGCUCCACCCUAAGUCCUAUAAUGAGUAAGGUUACUCGGACGUGGCCCACAGAGGGUGAAAGGCCCGUGGGGGUGGAGACUCAGUUUGGCCAGUAUCUUCCUGAGCAGACCUUGGAGUCGGGUUGUUUGUGAAUGCAGCCCAAAGUGGGUGGUAAACUCCAUCCAAGGCUAAAUACUUGCACGAGUCCGAUAGCGAACAAGUACCGUGAGGGAAAGUUGAAAAGUACUUUGAAGAGAGAGUAAACAGUGCGUGAAACCGCUCAGAGGUAAACGGGUGGAGUUGAACUGCAAGCUCCGAGGAUUCAGCUGGUGAGAUUGGCAUGAGCUUGGUCAUGUGGGUUGUAUGUUCGGGUCUGCUUAGCUGCAGGUCCUCGCCUUUGGUGGGGAUGCGCGUAUCGCUUAUCAAGCGUUGUGCGCCCGGGCUUCUCGAGCCUUCUCGCUAGUGCACUUUCUCGGAGUGUUCACCACGACCGGCGUUGCUGUCUGGCUGGUGCGGUUAAACCGGUCUUGUAGGGUCCUCGUGGCCUUGCUUGGUCGGGAUGGCAGGUAGCCCGUUGUGUACUUCGGUGUGCUUCGGGUGUAAUAGCCGACUGCAUCGGUUCUGUGCGGUACGUCGGAGACGGCGGCUUGUUGUGCGUGCGGGCGUGCCUGUUGCGCUGGCGGCUCUGAGUCUGGUUGCCUUGUUGCUUGUAAAUGCAGGCCUGGUGAUGGCUCGGGGUCGUUUGGUGUGCGGUUGCGUUCGUGGCACUUUAAAGGGCCUAAAGUCUGUGGUGUAGUGGUAGACUAUCCACCUGACCCGUCUUGAAACACGGACCAAGGAGAGUAACAUGUGCGCGAGUCAUUGGGCGUUACGAAACCCAAAGGCGAAGUGAAAGUAAAGGUUCGGCUUGUCCGGACUGAGGUGAGAUCCUGUCGUUUCUCACGCCUGGUACUACCAAGCAUCGAGCGGCGGGCGCAUCACCGGCCCGUCCCAUGGCGUAGUGGCGGCCUCGUGCCUGCUCAUCGUCGGGGCGGAGCAUGAGCGUACAUGUUGAGACCCGAAAGAUGGUGAACUAUGCUUGCGCAGGUUGAAGCCAGAGGAAACUCUGGUGGAGGACCGCAGCGAUUCUGACGUGCAAAUCGAUCGUC